UCACUAGAGAAACUUCAGUUCAAAAUCACGAGAGAAUAUUUAGCAUGUUCGACCUGGCAAUAAAUACGCGAUGCACAUGCCCUGCAUGAUGAGAUAUACCUGGAGCUGAGCUUCUCUUCUAUGGCCAUCAAUGGGCCAGACCAAUCUGGGGAUGUCACAACAAAGUGUUGAGCAUAGGAGGCUUGGCAGUGGGAGAGCUAGCUUGCAAAUCUCAGCCAUGGUCCAUGAGGGGAAGGUAAGUAGAAGAUUAACAAAAGGUAAACAUACUGUCGGCAUAUGACCAAAUGCACGAUACUUAAAGCAAGGCUGAUGAACUAGAAAGUAUGUUGCGGAACUGAAACUAACUAUACAAUCAGCAAUCCUAGCUUCGUUUCUAUGUGUGAACAAGUAGUUGUUGUGGCCUGGACAGAGGACAUGGGAGAGCUAGAUUACAAAUCUGAGCCAUGGUCCAUGAGAGGAAGGUAAGUGGAUGAUUCACCAAACGUAGACAUCCACCAUGUGUGUGCCCCGAAAGCAGCAGAAGUUUGGCCCCAACCCCAUCAACUUGAUCAUCGAUGUGCUCAACACAGGUAUGUGAUAAUCCAAGCCCUAUGCACCUUCUCUAUCCUAUUCCAAUCAUCGUAAACCAGUCUGCUUCCUUCAUGUGUUCUGUUGGGCGGCGAUGAAGUCUGGGUAUUUGAAGAAUUUUUUUCUUUUGCUGAAUUUUCAACCGCAGUGGAUGCGUACAUUGAUUUUAUAUCAUAAGAAUUAUCAUGUUCUUGGCUCUAUCAACUUGCAAGAAAAAAAUGUUAUGCAUGGCAGACAUAUGUAUCAAUCUUGGUGUUCUGCUUCUACUAUUUGCAUACAAGCAGCUAUGUAUGUGACCUAACUCAUGUGCUACUUACGGAAAAUGAUUUUUAUCUCAGGAAGAUCGAAGUCAUUCUCUUGAACAAGACACCAUUCAGGUAGCCAAUAUAUUUACACUAAAUUCCCUUCCAUGUUGCUACUUGCAUACCAAAGGUUGAAGAUCAGCUCAUAAGCAGCAUCCAUAUCAGAAAGUUAUGCUGAAUUUCUUCUAGGGUGUGAUAGAUUUUCUCAAAAGCUUUGCAAUGAUGGAUGAUAAGGAGCUGUUUAUGUGCAUUUAAUUAUGCAAUGACCUAUGUUCUGAAAUAGAUAUAGCUUCAAAUCUGAGACCUGCCAUAAGAAAUAAUCCAAGGUAUGAACAGUUCAUUCAGUAAAACAGCAGAGCCAAUGUUUUAUUACUGAGAGCGAGAUUUAAUUAAUUGAUGGAUGCAGUGACAUAUUAUAUCUGAAGUUAUUUCUUUUUAGGUGUAUAUCUCAAGUUAUCCUGAGAGUUCAUGUUUGAUGCUGACCAAGGAGUUUGCUCUCUCAAAGUAUAGUAUACUCAUGUAGGCUGUUUUUAUAUGUUGUUCUUGCAUAAUGAGCUGUAUGCAUCCUCUCUUUGCCAACGUUAGCUAGGUUCCAUGAGGGUGUCUUUAUAUGUUAGGAUUCUGAUUACUAAGAACCAUCAUACAGUUGCACUUAUAUUAAUGUAUGGUCCAUGGUAUGAGCGCAUCCUAUCUUUAUAUUAAAUUACUUAGAUUUUAUAUAAAAAUACAACCUUUCUCUGAGGUGAUGUAGGAAAUUUUGCAACUGAUACUAAAAUAUGGUUACUUUUUUUCACUUAGGACACUGGCGUUUUUGUGGAGCUAGAGGCCGCUUCUAAGUCAAACUUGGUUAUGUUUGACCAACUAUAUAGGAAAAUGUGAUAAGAACUAAUACAAUCCCAAAUACCCAUAAUACAAAAAUACAUUUCAUAAUAGAUAUCAUGAGACAAAUUUGGUGUUCAAGAUGAUUAUAUAUUUUUCCUGACCAUUAAUGUUAAAUAUUGAUGGUCAAGAUUUAAGGAUGUAAGGUUACAUGCAAAUAUUGUAAUGAACAAAGAGUGCAACACGUGACGUACAAAUAGAAUGGAAUAUAUUCCCGUCUAAGUGGAUGCGAUGUACCAGUCCAGAG
Molecule: long non-coding RNA, 1995 nt
Organism: Triticum dicoccoides
Lineage: Eukaryota; Viridiplantae; Streptophyta; Magnoliopsida; Poales; Poaceae
Exons: 3
Source: RefSeq, a predicted model, not a curated record